GGCUUAGAGUUUGAUCAUGGCUCAGGAUGAACGCUGGCGGCGUGCCUAAUACAUGCAAGUCGAACGCGAGCCUUCGGGCUCGAGUGGCGAACGGGUGAGUAAUACGUAAGCAACCUGGCCUUUACAGGGGGAUAACUGAUGGAAACGUCAGCUAAGACCGCAUAGGUACAGAGAUCGCAUGAUAACUGUAUUAAAAGUGCUACGGGACUGGUAGAGGAUGGGCUUACGGCGCAUUAGCUUGUUGGAGGGGUAACGGCCCACCAAGGCGACGAUGCGUAGCCGACCUGAGAGGGUGACCGGCCACACUGGGACUGAGACACGGCCCAGACUCCUACGGGAGGCAGCAGUAGGGAAUUUUCGGCAAUGGGGGGAACCCUGACCGAGCAACGCCGCGUGAAGGAAGAAGGAAUUCGUUCUGUAAACUUCUGUUAUAAAGGAAGAACGGCACAUAUAGGGAAUGAUAUGUGAGUGACGGUACUUUAUGAGGAAGCCACGGCUAACUACGUGCCAGCAGCCGCGGUAAUACGUAGGUGGCGAGCGUUAUCCGGAAUUAUUGGGCGUAAAGAGGGAGCAGGCGGCAGCAAGGGUCUGUGGUGAAAGGCUGAAGCUUAACUUCAGUGUGCCAGAGAAACCGGGCAGCUAGAGUGCAGGAGAGGAUCGUG
RNAcentral lists this ribosomal RNA (662 nucleotides) under uncultured organism. Its description in RNAcentral is "bacterial SSU rRNA". It matches the Rfam family "Bacterial small subunit ribosomal RNA", at positions 1 to 663 of the family's 1533-position model. The record is from RNAcentral.